CACCAGUAGUAGAAUCCACCAAUAAGUUUCCUGCAUAACCCGGAUAAGCCCCUUUACCAUAAACCCCAGUGCAAGCUGAUGCUGCCUCCAGUGGUGCCUCUUUUGGACCCUGGAAGUAUCCAUUUGCAAAUGGGUUUGUGGCAGUCCCAGCCAAAAGGCUGGCCAAGUUGAUUACCAUGCCAUCAAGACCCACAUCGUUGUUGGGCGCAACCAGUGGUGGGCUCUGUGGUCCGUAGAUUGGCUGGUGGA
RNAcentral lists this unclassified non-coding RNA (249 nucleotides) under Hevea brasiliensis (rubber tree). The record is from RNAcentral. Lineage: Eukaryota; Viridiplantae; Streptophyta; Magnoliopsida; Malpighiales; Euphorbiaceae.